AUAGGUAUAGUUUAAUAAAAACAUCAGAUUGUGAUUCUAAAAACAGAAGUUAAAAUCCUCUUACCUAUC
RNAcentral lists this transfer RNA (69 nucleotides) under Maccullochella macquariensis. Its description in RNAcentral is "tRNA-His". It matches the Rfam family "tRNA". Rfam says of the family: Transfer RNA (tRNA) molecules are approximately 80 nucleotides in length. The record is from RNAcentral. Lineage: Eukaryota; Metazoa; Chordata; Actinopteri; Centrarchiformes; Percichthyidae.